UUUUUUUUACUAAAAAUCAAGAAAAUGACAAUCCAAACAAGAGCACCGUGUUAACAAUCAAUUAACGAAAUCCAGGAUUGUUCCCAAAUCCUCGAGUGCAACAGUUACAAAAUGCUAAAGAAAGAGCACUGCCAGUAGGACAAAAUGUAAGCCAAAAAUCAAUCACCAUAAAGGCAGGCAUCAACAAUCCAGCCGUUACGCCACGUAUCCCCUCUUCUCUUCUUCUUUUUCUUCUUUCUUUAACCACUUCAAACGUUGGUUGAACGAACCUUCUCCCCCCCCCCCCCCCCCCCCCCCCCCCGCGCGUAAGGCAAUCCAGCUGUCCCUAUUCCGCGUAACCCCUAGGCAAUCCCAAUUCCCACCCCAUCAAGAUCUCCCUAUAAAUACCUUGACAGCCCGUCAACAUUCCUAUUCCAUCACAGAACAGCACAAGAAUUUCUAAGGUCCCGUCCCCUACUUUUUCAUCCCCACAUCGUUCAGUUCUUACUCCUCUCGACUUCUGCUGUAUUCUUCUUCUUCUUCCUAAAUGGCUUCUCAAGUUAGCUUCAUCAAGGCGUUGGUGUUCGCUGUUGUCAUGAUGUUGGCCGUAGCGGCGGCCUCCGCCCAAGAGUUGGGCCUCUCCCCGGCAGCUUCACCGGAUGCCGGAGCUGCUUUCUCUUUGCCGGUGUCCACCGCUUUCAUUGCCAGCUCCCUGCUCUUCUCUGUUUUUGCUCUGUUGAGGCACUAAGAUUACAGGAUGCAAGGAGAGAGGUUUUUGGGAUGGCGAGCGUACUUAGUCCUUCUAUGGUACCAGCAUAGUUAUUAUGGACCUAUUCAAUUUUAUUAUUUUAUGUAAAAAUUUGAGAUGACUGAGUCUAUAUAUGAUCCUUGUAUCUGUUGAUACAUAUAUUGUAUUAUAUUUAUACGUUGAUGAUGGUUGAUGGGAAAUAAAGUUUGCUAUUUAUUGUAUCAGUCCGUUCUUAUUUGGAGUUCUUCAUUUUUGCAAGACUCAGAUAGUAGACCCCAAUUUGUUGUCAUCCCAAAAAAAAAAAAGAGGAAAAAAGGGGCCAAAAGCCAAACAACAUGAAAGGUCUUUUAUCCCCCCCCCUUUUUUUUUUUUUAACAAAAUGAGAGGGGGAUAAUUAUUUACCCUCUCCCCCACCACUUGGGAUCCUCGGUGACAUGUUUUCUAUGUCAAUUCAAUAUCACCUAUAGUAUUGCGCCAAAUAUCAUAUUAUUAUUUACACUUGUGUUAAAUCAAACUAAAUUGAAUUAUUAAAAAAUUAAAGUGUAAAUAAUAACAAGACAUUUGGCGCAAUAUUAUAGGUGACAUUGGAUUGACAUAGAAAACGUGUAAUCAAAGAUUUCAAGUGCCCCACCCCCCAACACAAAAAAAAAAAAAAAAAAAAAAAGAGCAUGGGAGAGCGGCUACACAAUAAAAUUUUGCAAUUCCCAAAAAUUGAUCUAUUGUGUUAAAGUGGCUGUGAAUUGGUGAAAAAUUCAAUGGCGGAUUAAUGGGCUAAAGGUUGGAAUAUGGAAAUAGAUUUGAUACCACUACGGACUACCUAUUUCAGUUGUUGUUGCUCUCUGAAAUUACAUAUCCAUACAAGGGUUCGAGUUUCGAUUGAUAUUUGUGGAGUUUCUUUUUUUAAAUUUAUUUAAAGAAUAUAUAUGGUUGGUCCUAUUAAGGCUUCCCAUGUAUUAUAAUAUCUCUAUCUUAGUGAAGAAGACUGUUGUCAAAUAUGUAAAGAUAGCUUCUUUUUAGCUUCCAAUAUAUGUCCUCAAAUAUAUAUGGCUCGUAAAAAAGGAAAACAAAUUUAUCUAUUUGCGUCAUAGGCACAAUGGAUGAGACGCGUACAUUUGUCAUAUUAGUUUGUCGUACCAAGAAUUUUUCAAAAAAAAAAAAAAAAAAAAGGAGGUUUGGCAUACCAAGAAAAGAGCGUUCAAAAAUUUCUUUAUUUGUCCUUUAUCGAUGUAAGAUGUAAAAACUUUACGUCCAAAUCAACCAGUCCGACAAAUGAAGCCGUUACGUUACGUACGCCUUCUUCCUUUAGGCUUUAGCCACACAACAAAAUUCAAACGUCGGUGGUGAACCGCCUUUGCCGUCUUCAUCCUCUCCCGCUCCCACCACCUGUCGCCCUUCCACCUCUAUAUAUUCAAUCGCAAAAACAACUUCGAAUCAACCAAUUUACACGCCCUUUCCUCUCCUUUGAAGAUCCUUAACACCAUUUACACCCUCGAUCUCCUCUCAUUUUACAAAUGGCCUCUCUGCAGGGUAGCAUGAUCAAGGCCAUGGCAUUGGCAAUUGUGAUGUUGGCCGUUGCAGCCGCCUCAGCCCAAGACCUGUCCCCGGCACCGUCUCCCAGUGAAGGCAAUGCAGCAUUUUCUCUGCCGGUCUCCACCGCCUUGAUCGCGAGCUCCGUGCUCCUCUCUGUCUUCGCUCUGCUAAGGCAUUGAGUAUUUGAAGAGUUUUUACGUGAGCAGCAAAGAGCAAAUUGUUUGAACAUGGAGGAGAGAAAGAGGGUUUUGUUUUGGAUACAUUUAUUUUGUUUUGGAUUUUAUUACCAGAUUUUUUGUAUUAAUUACAUGUUAUUGAAAUGUACUGAGAAAUAAAAAUUCUGAUUACUUUAUUAUCAUGCUUACAAUCUCUUUUCAGGCUUAAUGGGUUUUUUUUUUUGCCUUUUAUACGAUGAAGGAGUAGUUAUAAGUUCAGCAUAAAUUCG
This 2702-nucleotide long non-coding RNA is filed under the name Coffea arabica (coffee). Its description in RNAcentral is "long non-coding RNA (CARA_LNC004092)". The record is from RNAcentral. Lineage: Eukaryota; Viridiplantae; Streptophyta; Magnoliopsida; Gentianales; Rubiaceae.